This 380-nucleotide unclassified non-coding RNA is filed under the name uncultured bacterium. RNAcentral describes it as "contains 16S-23S intergenic spacer region". The record is from RNAcentral.
UCCGGUUUGACACCGGCAGUCCCGCUAGAGUCCUCGCCAUGACGCGUUAGCAACUAACGGCAGGGGUUUCGCUCGUUAAGGGACUUAACCCGACACUUCACAGCACGAGCUGACGACAGCCAUGCACCACCUGUGACGGUCCAGCCGAACUGACCCCGUGUUUCCACGGGUAUGACCGACAUGUCAAACCCAGGUAAGGUUCUUCGCGUUGCGUCGAAUUAAACCACAUCAUCCACCGCUUGUGCGGGUCCCCGUCAAUUCCUUUGAGUUUUAGCCUUGCGGCCGUACUCCCCAGGCGGGGCGCUUAAUGCGUUAGCUGCGGCACGGAACUCGUGGAAUGAGUCCCACACCUAGCGCCCAACGUUUACGGUGUGGACUAC